This 30-nucleotide non-coding RNA is filed under the name Mus musculus (house mouse). The record is from RNAcentral. Lineage: Eukaryota; Metazoa; Chordata; Mammalia; Rodentia; Muridae.
UGGAUUGAGAUCAGGGACCCCUACGAAAGA